AAUUUUAUUUUACUUUUUAUAAAAAAAAAAUAUUUUAAAUAAAUAUUAAAUACAUUUUAAUACCAUCUGAAAAGAAUAAAAAAAUUUUUAAUAAGAAUUUCGUUUAUCCUUUAGUAUCAGGAAAAUUUAAAAUUUCAUAGCUAAAUUAUAUUCCCGAAAUUAUAUGAUCUAUUUAUUAUAAUAUUAUAUGUUAUAAAAUAUAAAUAAAAUAAAAAAUAGCAACUAAACAUUAUUCGAAUAUAAUAAUAUCUGGUUUUCUUUAAAAAAUUAAUCUUAAUUUAUAAUUUAUAUUAUAAUAUAUAAAAUUAUUAUAAAUUUUACUAUUAUUAAAUAAAUAUUAAAAGUUUUUAUAAAGUUUAACAACUAAAAUAUUUAUAUACUAAUAUAUUCAUAUUAGAAAUAACUUAUAAUUAUUAAUAUAAUAAAUAUAUAAAUAGAUAUUAAUUUUAAAAUUAAAAAUUAGUCUAAAUUUAAAUGACUGUUUAUCAAAAACAUUUCUAUUAGACUUUUAUUAAUAGUAAGAUCUGCUCAAUGAUAAUUAAAUAGCCGCAAUACGUGCUAAGGUAGCAUAAUAACUCGUCUUCUAAUUAAGGACUAGAACAAAAGAUUUAACAUUUUAAAUUAUUUUACUAAUUAAUAUAUCAAAAUUUUCUUAGAUGUUAAAAGACAUUUAUUCUAAAGAAAGACGACAAGACCCUAUUGAAUUUUACUUUAGUUAAACUGGGGCAGUUAUAUAAUUAUUAUUUUAAUAAAAUUAUUUUAUUAAAUAUCUAAUCAUAUUAAAUAAUUAAGUUACCAUAGGGAUAACAGCGUAAUUAUAAACUAAAGUUCUCAUAACAAUUAUAGAUUGCGACCUCGAUGUUGAAUUAUUAACCUAAAUAGGGCAAGACUUAAUUAAAGGAGGUCUGUUCGACCUUUAAAUAAAUACAUGAUUUGAGUUCAGACCGGUGUAAGCCAGGUCGGUUUCUAUCUUCUAAAUAUAAUUCUGUAGUACGAAAGGACCUAGAAAUUAAAUUUAAUUU
This 1022-nucleotide ribosomal RNA is filed under the name Telamonia vlijmi. RNAcentral's name for it is "16S ribosomal RNA". The stretch from base 680 to 975 matches the Rfam family "Archaeal large subunit ribosomal RNA", at positions 2151 to 2715 of the family's 2987-position model. Lineage: Eukaryota; Metazoa; Arthropoda; Arachnida; Araneae; Salticidae. The record is from RNAcentral.